RNAcentral lists this long non-coding RNA (1516 nucleotides) under Gopherus agassizii (Agassiz's desert tortoise). RNAcentral's name for it is "lncRNA (ENSGAGG00000004516.1)". Lineage: Eukaryota; Metazoa; Chordata; Testudines; Testudinidae. The record is from RNAcentral.
CUCCUUCGUCCCUCUUCAGGGACCCCUCUCACGAGCAACUCCUCCUUCAGGAGGUGCGGAUGCUCCUCAACAAAGGAGCCGUAGAGGAGGUUCCAGAAGCCGAGUGGGGCAAGGGGUUUUAUUCCCGUUACUUUCUGAUCCCCAAAGCCAAGGGAGGCCUCAGGCCUGUCCUCGACCUGCGUGAACUCAACAGAUAUGUCGUGAAGUUGAAGUUCCGUAUGGUAUCCUUGGGGACCAUUAUCCCAUCCUUGGAUCCUGGAGACUGGUACAUCGCCCUCGACAUGCAAGAUGCAUACUUUCAUAUAGCCAUCUUCCCGCCGCACAGACGGUUCCUUCGGUUCGUGAUCAACCGCUGCCACUAUCAAUUCGCGGUCCUCCCAUUCGGCCUUUCCACGGCCCCGAGGGUGUUCACCAAAUGUAUGGCUGUAGUCGUCGCCCACCUCCGUCGCAGCCGCGUACAUGUAUUUCCGUACUCGACAACUGGCUGAUUCGGGGCCCAUCAGAGGCACAAGUCCUCAGCCAUGUCCGCAUGGUCAGCAGUCUCUUCGAGAACUUGGGUCUCAUCCUCAAUAUAGAAAGUCAGAGGAUAGAGUUUAUCGGAGCCCUUCUGGACUCUACUCUGGCCAGAGCUGUUCUUCCUCUAUCAAGGUUCCAGACCUUGACAGCCAUUAUACAACGACUGCAGACAGCACCUUUGACCUCCAUACGCACGUGCCUAACUCUAUUGGGCCACAUGGCGGCUUGCACGUUUGUCACGCAGUAUGCGCGGCUUCGCAUGAGGCCCCUCCAGUCCUGGCUCAUCAGUCAGUACCGUCCGGCCCAGCACCUUCUGGAUGCGGUUGUUACCGUUCCCCAGGACAUAUUAGGUUCCCUGCGGUAGUGGCUGGACCAGUCCGUGGUGUGUGCGGGGCUGCCAUUCCAUCUGCCCCAGCCUUCGGUGUCCCUGACAACAGAUGCCUCAGAUCUAGGUUGGGGGGCCCAUCUCAGAACCCUACGGACACAAGGUCGGUGGUCACCUCACGAACUAGCCCUCCACAUCAACGUACGGGAACUGAGGGCAGUCCGCCUUGCUUGCCAAACAUUCCAUCAUCAACUUCAAGGUCGCUGUGUCUCGGUAUUCACCGACAACACAACGACCAUGUAUUAUAUCAACAAGCAGGGUGGCACGAGGUCUUCUGCCCUGUGUCAGGAGACCGUGAGGCUCUGGGACUUCUGCAUAGCCCGCUCCAUUCACCUCAUCGCAUCCUUCCUUCCCGGGGUUCGGAACACGCUGGCGGAUCAUCUGAGCAGAUCCUUCCUUUCCCACGAGUGGUCCCUUCGCCCGGACGUUGCCCUUUCGCUCUUCCAGAGGUGGGGAUGUCCCCGGAUGGACCUCUUCACGUCCCGAGGGAACAGGAAAUGCCAGAUGUUCUGCUCCUUUCAAGGCCAGGAACCCGGUUUGGUAGCAGAUGCCUUCCUUAUCCCCUGGACGACGCAUCUGUUCUACGCAUUCCCUCCGUUCCCAUUAGUCCACAAG